Molecule: ribosomal RNA, 488 nt
Filed under: uncultured bacterium
Lineage: Bacteria
Description: partial 16S ribosomal RNA
Rfam family: Bacterial small subunit ribosomal RNA
Source: RNAcentral
AUGCACGCUAGCUACAGGCUUAACCCCUGCCAGUCGAGGGGCAGCAUGGUCUUAGCUUGCUAAGGCCGAUGGCGACCGGCGCACGGGUGAGUAACACGUAUCCAACCUGCCGUCUACUCUUGGACAGCCUUCUGAAAGGAAGAUUAAUACAAGAUGGCAUCAUGAGUCCGCAUGUUCACAUGAUUAAAGGUAUUCCGGUAGACGAUGGGGAUGCGUUCCAUUAGAUAGUAGGCGGGGUAACGGCCCACCUAGUCUUCGAUGGAUAGGGGUUCUGAGAGGAAGGUCCCCCACAUUGGAACUGAGACACGGUCCAAACUCCUACGGGAGGCAGCAGUGAGGAAUAUUGGUCAAUGGGCGCAGGCCUGAACCAGCCAAGUAGCGUGAAGGAUGACUGCCCUAUGGGUUGUAAACUUCUUUUAUAAAGGAAUAAAGUCGGGUAUGUAUACCCGUUUGCAUGUACUUUAUGAAUAAGGAUCGGCUAACUCCGU